AGCAUUAUGGGUCAGUGUUGAGUGCCUUUGAUUGCGUGGAGUUGCCAGGUCCUCCUAAAUCACCCAUUUGUAUUUGGUGUAGUGGGGGAAAUUCUCCCUCAGCAACAGUAACGGUGAUGAAAAUUGAAAUGGAUGAAUAUUGAAAUAUCAUCUAGCAAACUGUUAGGAGAGGCAGUCAUGGCUUCGAAAAUGGACAUGUUCUAAAUCACUGGGACUGUGUAACCUUGAAAUGACAAGCAGGUGUACUGGUAGUUACUGGACAUUGACUUUGGAAUGUUAGAUGAUUGUGUUCACUAAUCUAUUUGAUGGAAAGCCAGGCUCAGGCCUGCCUGAUAGACUAAAUAACACAUUCACAGCCCACAGUUUUCAUAAAUGGAGCCCUGGGGAGCAACUAAGGCACAAAGACUGUGACACAGCCACCAGAUUGGCCAUGGUAUUCAGCUGUUAGCUGAUUACAUUGAUCUCAUUGAUUUGUUACAGCUUUCCAGUCAUUCCAUACCCAAAGCCACUGUGGAGACCCUUCUGAUUAAAAACCACAAACUGUCGGUGGGUGGAGCAGGUCAUCACAGAACAGGAUCAGGUGCCAUGAGCAGAACAAGCAUGGCUAAUUGAACUGUCAUGCACACACACAUAUAUAAAACAAGAGAAAAUUC
Long non-coding RNA from Tachysurus fulvidraco (yellow catfish), 653 nucleotides. RefSeq lists it as uncharacterized. The transcript is spliced from 3 exons. NCBI's taxonomy places the organism in Eukaryota, Metazoa, Chordata, Actinopteri, Siluriformes, Bagridae. The record is from RefSeq and is a predicted model, not a curated record.